RNAcentral lists this ribosomal RNA (492 nucleotides) under uncultured bacterium. Its description in RNAcentral is "partial 16S ribosomal RNA". It matches the Rfam family "Bacterial small subunit ribosomal RNA", at positions 29 to 507 of the family's 1533-position model. The record is from RNAcentral.
AGUGAACGCUGGCGGUAGGCCUAACACAUGCAAGUCGAACGGCAGCACAGUAAGAGCUUGCUCUUACGGGUGGCGAGUGGCGGACGGGUGAGGAAUACAUCGGAAUCUACUUUUUCGUGGGGGAUAACGUAGGGAAACUUACGCUAAUACCGCAUACGACAUACGGGUGAAAGCAGGGGAUCUUCGGACCUUGCGCGAUUGAAUGAGCCGAUGUCGGAUUAGCUAGUUGGCGGGGUAAAGGCCCACCAAGGCGACGAUCCGUAGCUGGUCUGAGAGGAUGAUCAGCCACACUGUAACUGAGACACGGUCCAGACUCCUACGGGAGGCAGCAGUGGGGAAUAUUGGACAAUGGGCGCAAGCCUGAUCCAGCCAUACCGCGUGGGUGAAGAAGGCCUUCGGGUUGUAAAGCCCUUUUGUUGUGAAAGAAAAGCAGCAGGUUAAUACCCCGCUGUUCUGACGGUACCCAAAGAAUAAGCACCGGCUAACUUCGUG